GAUAACUAUAUUUAUAAUACAUAAAAUACUACUUAUAAAAUUUAUAAAAUUAAUUAAUUAAUAUCUGCUCAACGCGCGGGUCAUAAUCUAGUAUAUAUUUAAAACAAACCUCUGUGUCACCUCAUAGUAAUUUCUUCCACAUGUGCAAACAUAUCCCUAAUGUGUACGCCUUAGAGAGUUCUCUUGUGUUUUUAUAUUUCACCUCUUUUUUUUUUACUUGUGUUUUUAUGUUUCACCUCAUUUUUUUCUACUUAGUUUCUAAAUAACUUUUCCCUCUUUUAAUCCCUCUAAUCCUUAGUUUUUUUUAAUGACUUCCUCCAACAAUUUCUUCUUCCUUCUUGUGACUGCUUUGGUCAUUCGCCAUCCUCGCAAAAUCAUCUUCUGCAAAAUCAUUUGUUCAUGUGCGGUAAUUCUUCGAAAUCGCCAACUCUACUCCAAAGAUACCCUAAAAGAGGAAAUCCAAGUUGGAAUGGGACCAACCAGCCGGGAAACUUCGCUACCCAUCAUACCUAGAGCAAAAUGGCACAUGAAAAUUCUCAGGAAUUAGUGUUCUCCAAUGCUAUGACAAAGUAUAUUUAUACAUCAAUAUUUUUUCUCUCACCCUUCUAAACUCUUUUCCUUAUUUAUUUGUUUUUAAGUGUCACUUUGCUAUGUGUGUCUCAUAUUCUUAGUUUUACUUCAAUGUAGUAUAUGUUGAGUAGCUUAUAAAUUGCAGUUGAAAAAGUUUGACUCAAAUAAUUUUAAUCAUGUUUAAAAGAUAUGUGUCAUUGAAUUGGAUCAAGUAAAUUAGAUCAUUUUAAAUUUCAUAAGACAAA
Cicer arietinum (chickpea) is the source of this 815-nucleotide long non-coding RNA. RefSeq lists it as uncharacterized. Lineage: Eukaryota; Viridiplantae; Streptophyta; Magnoliopsida; Fabales; Fabaceae. The record is from RefSeq and is a predicted model, not a curated record.